Molecule: transfer RNA, 87 nt
Filed under: Ascodesmis nigricans
Lineage: Eukaryota; Fungi; Ascomycota; Pezizomycetes; Pezizales; Ascodesmidaceae
Rfam family: tRNA
About the family: Transfer RNA (tRNA) molecules are approximately 80 nucleotides in length. Their secondary structure includes four short double-helical elements and three loops (D, anti-codon, and T loops).
Source: Rfam by way of RNAcentral
GCGCUAAUAGCUCAGUUGGGAGAGCGUCAGACUGAAGUAAUUCAGUUAUUUAUCUGAAGGUCACCCGUUCAAUCCGGGUUUGGCGCA